AGAGUUUGAUCCUGGCUCAGGAUGAACGCUAGCUACAGGCUUAACACAUGCAAGUCGAGGGGCAGCAUGGUCUUAGCUUGCUAAGGCCGAUGGCGACCGGCGCACGGGUGAGUAACACGUAUCCAACCUGCCGUCUACUCUUGGACAGCCUUCUGAAAGGAAGAUUAAUACAAGAUGGCAUCAUGAGUCCGCAUGUUCACAUGAUUAAAGGUAUUCCGGUAGACGAUGGGGAUGCGUUCCAUUAGAUAGUAGGCGGGGUAACGGCCCACCUAGUCUUCGAUGGAUAGGGGUUCUGAGAGGAAGGUCCCCCACAUUGGAACUGAGACACGGUCCAAACUCCUACGGGAGGCAGCAGUGAGGAAUAUUGGUCAAUGGGCGAGAGCCUGAACCAGCCAAGUAGCGUGAAGGAUGACUGCCCUAUGGGUUGUAAACUUCUUUUAUAAAGGAAUAAAGUCGGGUAUGGAUACCCGUUUGCAUGUACUUUAUGAAUAAGGAUCGGCUAACUCCGUGCCAGCAGCCGCGGUAAUACGGAGGAUCCGAGCGUUAUCCGGAUUUAUUGGGUUUAAAGGGAGCGUAGAUGGAUGUUUAAGUCAGUUGUGAAAGUUUGCGGCUCAACCGUAAAAUUGCAGUUGAUACUGGAUAUCUUGAGUGCAGUUGAGGCAGGCGGAAUUCGUGGUGUAGCGGUGAAAUGCUUAGAUAUCACGAAGAACUCCGAUUGCGAAGGCAGCCUGCUAAGCUGCAACUGACAUUGAGGCUCGAAAGUGUGGGUAUCAAACAGGAUUAGAUACCCUGGUAGUCCACACGGUAAACGAUGAAUACUCGCUGUUUGCGAUAUACGGCAAGCGGCCAAGCGAAAGCGUUAAGUAUUCCACCUGGGGAGUACGCCGGCAACGGUGAAACUCAAAGGAAUUGACGGGGGCCCGCACAAGCGGAGGAACAUGUGGUUUAAUUCGAUGAUACGCGAGGAACCUUACCCGGGCUUAAAUUGCAGAUGAAUUACGGUGAAAGCCGUAAGCCGCAAGGCAUCUGUGAAGGUGCUGCAUGGUUGUCGUCAGCUCGUGCCGUGAGGUGUCGGCUUAAGUGCCAUAACGAGCGCAACCCUUGUUGUCAGUUACUAACAGGUCAUGCUGAGGACUCUGACAAGACUGCCAUCGUAAGAUGUGAGGAAGGUGGGGAUGACGUCAAAUCAGCACGGCCCUUACGUCCGGGGCUACACACGUGUUACAAUGGGGGGUACAGAGGGCCGCUACCACGCGAGUGGAUGCCAAUCCCAAAAACCUCUCUCAGUUCGGACUGGAGUCUGCAACCCGACUCCACGAAGCUGGAUUCGCUAGUAAUCGCGCAUCAGCCACGGCGCGGUGAAUACGUUCCCGGGCCUUGUACACACCGCCCGUCAAGCCAUGGGAGCCGGGGGUACCUGAAGUGCGUAACCGCGAGGAGCGCCCUAGGGUAAAACUGGUGACUGGGGCUAAGUCGUAACAAGGUAGCCG
This 1490-nucleotide ribosomal RNA is filed under the name uncultured bacterium. RNAcentral's name for it is "16S ribosomal RNA". It matches the Rfam family "Bacterial small subunit ribosomal RNA". The record is from RNAcentral.